This 440-nucleotide ribosomal RNA is filed under the name uncultured bacterium. Its description in RNAcentral is "partial 16S ribosomal RNA". It matches the Rfam family "Bacterial small subunit ribosomal RNA", at positions 338 to 795 of the family's 1533-position model. The record is from RNAcentral.
CCUACGUGCGGCAGCAGUGGGGGAUAUUGCACAAUGGGGGGAACCCUGCUGCAGCGACGCCGCGUGGGUGAAGCAGCUCUUCGGCUUGUAAAGCCCUGUUAGCAGGGAAGAACAUGACGGUAUCUGACGAAGAAGCCCCGGCUAACUACGUGCCAGCAGCCGCGGUAAUACGUAGGGUGCAAGCGUUAUCCGGAUUGACUGGGCGUAAAGCGGGCGUAGACGGCUGUGCAAGGCAGAAGUGAAAGCCUGGGGCUCAACCCCAGGACUGCUCUUGAAACUGCGAGGCUAGAGUGCAGGAGGGGCAGGCGGAAUUCCUGGUGUAGCGGUGAAAUGCGUAGAGAUCAGGAGGAACACCGGUGGCGAAGGCGACCUGCUGGACUGCAACUGACGUUGAGGCGCGAAAGCGUGGGGAGCAAACAGGAUUAGAUACCCGUGUAGUC